UCCCGGGUGGCUUGGAUGGUAAAGCGUCUGCCUGAAAUGUGGGAGACUCAGGUUCGAUCCCUGGGUCAGGAA
RNAcentral lists this transfer RNA (72 nucleotides) under Bos indicus x Bos taurus (hybrid cattle). It matches the Rfam family "tRNA". Rfam says of the family: Transfer RNA (tRNA) molecules are approximately 80 nucleotides in length. Their secondary structure includes four short double-helical elements and three loops (D, anti-codon, and T loops). Further hydrogen bonds mediate the characteristic L-shaped molecular structure. tRNAs have two regions of fundamental functional importance: the anti-codon, which is responsible for specific mRNA codon recognition, and the 3' end, to which the tRNAs corresponding amino acid is attached (by aminoacyl-tRNA synthetases). tRNAs cope with the degeneracy of the genetic code in two manners: having more than one tRNA (with a specific anti-codon) for a particular amino acid; and 'wobble' base-pairing, i.e. permitting non-standard base-pairing at the 3rd anti-codon position. Lineage: Eukaryota; Metazoa; Chordata; Mammalia; Artiodactyla; Bovidae. The record is from Rfam by way of RNAcentral.